This 408-nucleotide ribosomal RNA is filed under the name uncultured bacterium. Its description in RNAcentral is "partial 16S ribosomal RNA". It matches the Rfam family "Bacterial small subunit ribosomal RNA", at positions 28 to 526 of the family's 1533-position model. The record is from RNAcentral.
GACGAACGCUGGCGGCGUGCUUAACACAUGCAAGUCGAACGAAGUGGCGAACGGGUGAGUAACGCGUAAUCAACCUGCCCUUCAGACGGGGACAACAGGUGGAAACGACUGCUAAUACCGCAUACUGAGGGAGGGGAUGGCGUCGGAUUAGCUAGUUGGCGGGGUAACGGCCAACCAAGGCGAUGAGCAGUAGCCGGUCUGAGAGGAUGAACGGGCACAUUUGGACUUAGACACGGCCCAGACUCCUACGGGAGGCAGGAGUGGGGAAUCUUCCGCAAUGGACGAAAGUCUUGCGGGGCAACGCCGCGUGAGUGAUGACGGCCUUCGGGUUGUAAAGCUUUGUUAAUCGGGACGCGGUACCUGAAUAGAAAGCCACGGCUAACUACGUGCCAGCAGCCGCGGUAAUUC